Molecule: ribosomal RNA, 253 nt
Filed under: uncultured bacterium
Lineage: Bacteria
Description: partial 16S ribosomal RNA
Rfam family: Bacterial small subunit ribosomal RNA
Source: RNAcentral
UACGUAGGGUGCAAGCGUUAUCCGGAUUCACUGGGUUUAAAGGGUGCGUAGGAGGGCAGGUAAGUCAGUGGUGAAAUCCCCGAGCUUAACUUGGGAACUGCCGUUGAUACUAUCUGUCUUGAAUGUUGUGGAGGUGAGCGGAAUAUGUCAUGUAGCGGUGAAAUGCUUAGAUAUGACAUAGAACACCAAUUGCGAAGGCAGCUCGCUACACAAUUAUUGACUCUGAUGCACGAAAGCGUGGGGAUCAAACAGG